CCCAAGCUCAGGCUGUGAGCAAGCUUAGCUACUAGUUGGUCAGAACUUAGGCCAGCGAACGCAGCUGUGUGUCUCCGUUGACCUUGAUCCUUGAAUCCAAUCUGAUAUGAUCUCGGACCCCUUGACUUGACCUCAAAUC
Molecule: ribosomal RNA, 139 nt
Filed under: Boletus auripes
Lineage: Eukaryota; Fungi; Basidiomycota; Agaricomycetes; Boletales; Boletaceae
Description: partial 28S ribosomal RNA
Source: RNAcentral